This is a long non-coding RNA of Micropterus salmoides (largemouth bass), 2734 nucleotides long. RefSeq lists it as uncharacterized. Lineage: Eukaryota; Metazoa; Chordata; Actinopteri; Centrarchiformes; Centrarchidae. The record is from RefSeq and is a predicted model, not a curated record. The transcript has 2 exons.
UGGAGCUCAUGACUAUCUUGUGAUUGACUUUUAAUAGCCUUAGUCAGUCAGGAUGGCAUGGAGAGGGACAUCUAGAAGAGCUGCAGGGAAGGACCUGUUCUAAGAAGAUGGAUGCUGCUGUCAAAGGCCUGUCAUAAACAUAAAUGAUGAAGAAAUAGUCGAUAAAAAUGAUAUCUGCCUCCAGCAGUCCUGAGAGACUAGGCGUGAUUCAUUUCACCCCUGGUUUGGUUCAACACAAACAAGCCCUGGCAGGGACAGCAGGCUGAGAGGAUAUAAGAGAUUUCCUGUGAGGACUCUGACAUGCUGUGCUUGGACAACGAUGGUCCCCAUUUGGCAUCCACAUAUAUCAAGAGACUCCUUCAGUUCCCACAAAUAUUUGACUUGCCUUUUUAUAUUGCCAAAAGUUUAAAAAUCUGCAUAUGGUCAACUAUUGUAAUGCACAUAUAGGCCUACACAUGUCAUUCACGCAUGUAUCUUCUUUGUCACUGUCAAAUUUAUUUAUAUAGCACAUGUAAAACAACCACAGUUGACCAAAGUGCUGAACAGGGUAAAAUACUUGUAUCCUUUUACAUUCCUUAUAUCUCAUGCUCAGCUUACACAUGCACUGAUGUGUUACAUGAUACAAAUGAAUGCCUCUCAUGAUUGCCAUGAGACACUUUACUUCUCAGACUGGUCAAAGGGAACAAGCUUCCACUGAUGGAUGACCCUUAUACAUCUUACCUUCCUCAGAUGCUUUAUGCUUUUCCCUCAGUACUUUCACUGCUCAUCGACUAAAUGAGUGUCCCAGCUGGCAGGAAGCAGAAAAGUACAGAAUGUACAUACAUCCCAAUUUGGAAAAUGUUAAUACAUAUAGACUGGGGUUGACCUCAGCAGCUGUAUAUGUUGUGAGUUCUUCAUGAAAAUCUACAGUGACUUCCAGUAUUUUGGAUUAGGCUUGUCCCUGCACACUGAGCAAACAAAUGCUGCCCAUGUACGUUUUCAAACAGUAUUAGAAUUUAACCUCAGGCUAAAUGCAGUAACUACAUUUAGGAAAGACAACACUGAAGAAUAUAUUCCUUUGAGUGAGUGCUCAGACAUUUAAUAUCAGGGCGGUUAGGUGCCAGAUUGCAUAGAAUUUGAGUAAUUUGUUCCUUCAUCUUCAUUAUUAUUUAUUAUUUACUUCCUGGAAAUCCAGAGUUAGACAACAGCUGUAAAAAAAAAAAAAAGUACCAACUUGAUAUGCUGAGUCUGUUUCUUAUGCAAGACACCAUGAUGACAGAAUGCACUGUACUGAACUGAUGUUUAAAGUACUAGUUCCACAUUUUUGUUUUGUUUGUUAGAUGAGAAGAUUGAUACUGUCACAGAUGAAAUGCAGAACCCAAAAGCAUGCAUAUGGGCAGGUAGGAGAAAAAGUCUUUUAAUUUAGAAGGGCCACAAGAAAGGGGAGCUUGUGGUUGGCUGAUGUUUGGGCUGGGUGAAGGAAGGGUGGGGGGUGAAGGUUUGCAGAAGGCACAUAAACAUACCACGUGUUGCACAGCGAUCCUGCACAGACUCGAUGUCAGCACAGGGUUCUUACAGUGGUGAAGUGAUGACUUGAUAGCAGACAGAUUGCUUGAUUGGAAAUGAAGGGCAGGUGUGCAGUGAAAGGGAGCGCAAGGGGUAAGGGAACAAGCAACAGAUAGACAAAACUAAAACCCACUAAGCACACCUCUCACCCACUAGGGGUAGAAAAUAACAAAAAGGACUCUUUUCCAGAAGUUAUGCUAAGCUAAAAAAACAGUCCAUAGGCUGUAUGUUCAUUGCACAUAGCACAGAUGCAAAAGUGGUGUCAAUCUUCUCAUCAUUGGCAAGAAUGUGAAUAAGUUAUUUCUCAAAAUAUUCCUUUAACUGUGUAUUAAUAACAGUAAAUAUACUAAAAUACUGAAUUAUUGGUGGCAUAAAAAUAUCAAAAGCAUGUGUUUAUGUAGAUAAUGAGGAACCCUGCUGUAAAAUAAUGUUGGCUCAGAAGAAAAUCCCUCUCUGGAGGCGAAAACAAGUUACCAAGGUCAAGGAUAAAUUCCAAUGCUAAAUGCAGUUGCUGUAAAUAACUCAAACACAUAUUUACGUUGUCUGGGGAUUCUGCUCAAAUGGGGCAGCUGUCAGCGCUAAACGAGCUCUGCAGAACCAAUCCUUUACAUUUCAUGGACCCCAAACCUCAGAUGUACAGACAGGAUGCACUUCCCCCAAGAUUGUCCCUAAAACUAGCCCCUUGGUGGUGUGUACCGUGGUUAUCAAGCCUGAUUCCCAUGAACUAAUUGGCCUUCUUUGAAGCAUUCAAUCACGCAUACUGUGUUUACCACAGAGUAAGGAGCACUCAAGGGCACUGGGGGUAGGUUACUGAUCACAAUGAUACUAAUUCAUUGCACCAUUCAUUUUAAUUAACAGGAGUGGAAGUGGAAACAGGUCAGUUGGAGGAGACACUCAAACUGAAGAGGGAUCUAACUGUGAAUGGGGCCUGUUGUGGGAAAAAUGUGGGUAACUGGCAGACAGCCUCUUACUGUCAAGUGCUAUGCAGCUGGUGGUUCUGAGAAGGAAAAGGAAAGAAAGCUUGAAUUACAAUGUGUUCUUCAAGACAGAAGGGGUUCUGACCUGUAAAUGUAACACAGCAGCUGUGCACUCUUUAGCACUGACAUUUCUGCAGAUUACUUCUACAGUUUGGGAAAUUCUGUGAAGCUAUCAUGUAUGUAUGGUACAAUAAAGCUGAAUUGAAUUGAUA